CAGCCGCCGCGGUAAUACGUAGGUGGCAAGCGUUGUCCGGAAUUAUUGGGCGUAAAGGGCUCGCAGGCGGUUUCUUAAGUCUGAUGUGAAAGCCCCCGGCUCAACUGGGGAGGGUCAUUGGAAACUGGGAAACUUGAGUGCAGAAGAGGAGAGUGGAAUUCCACGUGUAGCGGUGAAAUGCGUAGAGAUGUGGAGGAACACCAGUGGCGAAGGCGACUCUCUGGUCUGUAACUGACGCUGAGGAGCGAAAGCGUGGGGAGCGAACAGGAUUAGAUACCCCUGUAGUCCCUGUCUCUUAUAC
RNAcentral lists this ribosomal RNA (301 nucleotides) under uncultured bacterium. Its description in RNAcentral is "partial 16S ribosomal RNA". It matches the Rfam family "Bacterial small subunit ribosomal RNA", at positions 509 to 807 of the family's 1533-position model. The record is from RNAcentral.